This 481-nucleotide ribosomal RNA is filed under the name uncultured bacterium. Its description in RNAcentral is "bacterial SSU rRNA". It matches the Rfam family "Bacterial small subunit ribosomal RNA", at positions 30 to 502 of the family's 1533-position model. The record is from RNAcentral.
AUUGAACGCUGGCGGCAUGCCUUACACAUGCAAGUCGAACGGUAACAGGGAGCUUGCUCCGCUGACGAGUGGCGAACGGGUGAGUAAUGUAUCGGAACGUACCAUUCAGUGGGGGAUAACGUAGCGAAAGUUACGCUAAUACCGCAUAUUCUGUGAGCAGGAAAGCAGGGGAUCGCAAGACCUUGCGCUGAUUGAGCGGCCGAUAUCAGAUUAGCUAGUUGGUGAGGUAAAGGCUCACCAAGGCGACGAUCUGUAGCGGGUCUGAGAGGAUGAUCCGCCACACUGGAACUGAGACACGGUCCAGACUCCUACGGGAGGCAGCAGUGGGGAAUUUUGGACAAUGGGCGCAAGCCUGAUCCAGCAAUGCCGCGUGCAGGAUGAAGGCCUUCGGGUUGUAAACUAGCUUUUGUUACGGAGCGAAAAGGCUCUCUCUAAUACGGGGAGUUCAUGACGGUACCGUAAGAAUAAGCACCGGCUAACU